GGCACCGGCCCGCUCCUCCCAGCCAAAGCCCCCCCCCAUUCCCGCCUCAGGAACGCCCCGCAAUCACCGCCUCAGACACCGCUCCGUCUCAGCCAAAGCCCUGCAAUCCCCGCUUUAAGCACCGGCCCGCCAUUCCCGCCUCGGCCAAAGCCCCCACUAUUCCCGCCUCAGGAAAGCUCCGCAAUCCCGGCCUCAGGCACAGCCCCGCCCCUCCCGCCUCGGGCUCUGCCUUGUAGGGUGGGCUCUUGAGGUAAAGGCGCUGGACGUGGAGAGUGUUUCUGCUUGUCCGUCUGUUUUUGGGAUAAGCGGUGCUUGAUGUGGAUUCCGCAGUGCUGGUGGCUGACAUUCCUCCCCAGGCGCUGCUGGCUGCCGCUCCCUGCCAGUUCUGUGUGAAGUGCUCAGCCCCUCUUGAAGAAUCUCUUGGACUCAACUCCUUCGUACAGGAGAAUCUCCUGGAUGCUGCUAAUGUGAAAUCUGUUCAGCACGAGAAUUGAGCAUUUGAGCAUUGCCUAGAAAUUUCCAAAAGCAUGAAAACAGUACAAAGAGAAGAAUGAAGAAAUAAGUUAUAAGCAGCAGUCUGACCACAGAAAAUUAGCUGACCCUUAUGUUCUCUAGCAGCUGAACG
Long non-coding RNA from Zonotrichia leucophrys gambelii, 625 nucleotides. RefSeq lists it as uncharacterized. Lineage: Eukaryota; Metazoa; Chordata; Aves; Passeriformes; Passerellidae. The transcript has 4 exons. The record is from RefSeq and is a predicted model, not a curated record.